GUGUCUGUUCACAGCAGUAAGACCCUAACUAAGACAGUAUUCUUUAUACUGUCAGGCCCAUUCAGUUCAUGGCUUUCCACACAGUUCCAAAAUGGACCCUCCAAUUAUGGACCAGCUCUGGUUUCUGGCAUGUUCUCAGGUUUAGCUGCUUGGAACAGUUCUAUCAUUCAAUGUCUUCCCCUUUCCACCCUUCAGAAAUCAGCUAUUAUUUAUAAGAAACCUUCCUCUUAAGUAUCUCAUGACUGCAGUCCUCUCUCUAGUCCCCACCUCCACCUCUCUCCUGGGGCUUCUUCACAACCCAGGCCAGUCUUGAGGUCAAACUUAGCUGCCCUCUCACUCUCAAGACUCCAGUCUGGUUGCCAUAGUGAUCUGUCCCUUAUGCAAACCUGGGCACAUCACUUGCAGAUCUAAUACCCCUCUACCUGUGGAAAUAUUUUCCCAGGACCCUCAGAACCAAGGGACCUCCCACCUCCAUGGGAGGUCAAGAGGGAUGGGGGGUGUGUGUCAGACCUCGAGGGUCUUUUACUGCAGGUUCUACUUGUAUGGUCUUACAUGGACAGAGGAGAGGUUUAAAAUAACCAAGGGUGCACCCUGUCCUACCUGCCCCUUGCUCCUGCACCCCUGAAGCAGGGCUCUCUGGUGGCCUUGAGGCAUGGAUGGGAUAUGGGAUAAACAUGAGACAGCUCCCUUCUCUUAGGAGCCAGGUUUGUUUGUCUUGGAACACUUCCUGCAAGAUGGGAAACGGGGAACGACACAACAACUGCGCCCUCUUCAGGCCAAGACCAGUAGGUUCACUUGCACAGUGAGGCCUCCUGCCCUUGGUUCAGUUAGUACUUGGCUCAGAUAGUGAGCAGGCUCCCUCUCUUUUAAAACACAUCGCUGGCCUGGAGGUGGUGGCGCACGCCUUUAAUCCCAGCACUUGGGAGGCAGAGGCAGGCGGAUUUCUGAGUUCGAGGCCAGCCUGGUCUACAAAGUGAGUUCCAGGACAGCCAGAGCUACACAGAGAAAAGCUGCCUCGAAAAACAGGAAAACAACAACAACAACAAAAAGAAUACAGUUGAUAAUGCAAAACAAACAAAACCAAAAAACACAUCACUGAAGAGUGACAUGCACACUGUGAGUUUAUAGAACUUAAAUAUAUGGUUCAGUGGGGGCGGGGGGAAUACAUUCCUAAUCACCCGGAAGUUGCCUGAUGUCCCUGCCAAGUCCACAUCCACACUUUCCCAGCCAGAGGUGCGCAGGAGUCAGACCAUGCCGAUUCUUCUUGAGAGUUAUGGAGCUGUGUAUAAACAGGGUCUCCAGGCCCAGAUCCGCUGUGUACAGGUUCUUUCUCAGCAUCGUGCCUGUGCAACUUCUUUGUAGUGACUGUGUGGAUUUUUAACUUGCAGGGAAAUACUCCAUUAUGUGCUAUAUACAAUGCAACCUGGUACCUUUUGUUUACCCAGCUUUCCGUUUGUACUUGGGCCUUUUUUCUUCUUCUCCUGUGUGGGGGCAAUUACAGAUAGGGCAUUUCCUACACUCAGGGCUUCUGUUCCAUGCCUGGCAUUGUCCUAUUGUGUUCCGGUCCUGGCCGUCUGUCCUGCUUUCCUCCCUCUCUGGGAACCUAUUUGGCUGCUGGGACUUAGGGUGUGUGACCUGGACCUUUGAUGGUCCUAUGGGGUCUCACACUACCUUGGAAGGCCAAGCUGUGGCUCUUAGUCCCUUAGAGCUGUGGCUCUAAGCUGUGACAGUCUUAGUCUGGGGAGACUGAGACUUGCUUCAUGGGCUUGCUUCUCUAUUCUUGCUGAUGCUAACAUCUGUGGACCACCUUUUAGCACUGGUUGCUCUUGCCUAACUCUUGUCUGCAUCCCUUGGCUGUCAGCCAGUUGGGAGGCUUCUUGUAUGCCUCCAAUGAGCCUUCAAGGAUGCUUCUGGAACUGGGAUAUUUAUCAGAGACAGAUCAGGAAAGCCAGCACCAUUACACAUGCAGCUCUGUGCUGCCUUGGGGACACAUUCUUGGCUGUCUUCCCAAAACGUUCGUGGUAUGGUACUGUCUGUCAGUAUUAACAAGCAUGGGUGUCCCUAAAUGUUUUUAUCUUUGUGUGUGUGUGUGUACUUGGGUGCACACAACUAGUAGUAUGUGCAUUCCUGCAUAUAAGUAUGCAUUUAUUUGAUUUGUACGUUAUCAUAAAAUAUUUUCUCUUUGCUAGGCAUGAUGGUCUGUGUGUAUAAUCUCAGAGUCCAGGAGGCUGGGGCAGGUAGGUAAAAGGCCAGCCUGGGCUAAAGAACAAGACCGAGUCUCAAGAAAACAGCACAAAACAAUAAAUAUGAGAUUUCUCCUAAACAGUGUGGUUUUGUUUUAAAGGUAUCUUCUCCACUUCCUUCCUUGUCCCCUCAAAGAUGUUGACUAACAUCAAGGCAACACCUUCUUUGUAGAUGAAAGAGGUAAGAUCCAUGUUUAUUCUGCCCCUUCCCAUGGCAUAGCCACAGGCAACAGAUACCUUAGCUCCUGCCAUAGGCAGGGAACAUGGGCUUGAGCUAUGUUUGGAAGGGGCAGGAUCUGGGGGACCCCCACUUAAUGCUGUAGGUGAUAAAGUGCUUGGAAGGGAUGGUGAAUGUCUGUUGACCAAGCAUGCAAAUCUGAGUUGUAACAUGUUACUUUUAGCUGUGUUGAUCUUGAGAAAACUACUCUCUGUGCUUCCGUGUCUCAAAGAAGUCAUCUCUGGUUGCGAGGGCCAAUAUGGCAGAUGCCAUUUACCUGUGGCCAGAGCGCUCAGAACAUGAGACCAG
RNAcentral lists this long non-coding RNA (2769 nucleotides) under Mus musculus (house mouse). RNAcentral's name for it is "long non-coding RNA chr8:19704344-19707113". The record is from RNAcentral. Lineage: Eukaryota; Metazoa; Chordata; Mammalia; Rodentia; Muridae.